Centropristis striata (black sea bass) is the source of this 1818-nucleotide long non-coding RNA. RefSeq lists it as uncharacterized. The transcript has 4 exons. Lineage: Eukaryota; Metazoa; Chordata; Actinopteri; Perciformes; Serranidae. The record is from RefSeq and is a predicted model, not a curated record.
CUGACACUUUGAAGUGCUCCUCUGCAUUCGAUAGCAUUUCAUCCUCGCAUAACUCACCAAGUGUCUUUUGGUGCGCCUUGCGCGUUUUUGUGGAAAUGAAGGCGGAAUACCCCAUGACUGGACAAGAUUUUGCGCAGUUUCUUUAAGGCUUUGAAACUCCCCUCUGAGUGAUACAAGGGUCUCAGGCGCACUUGCUAGAUAUUUGCUUGCCUGCAAAAUAUCAAUGUUUUGUUUUUGGAGACUUUGUGAAAGAAUAGUUUCCAGAAUUUUACCCUGUAUCACUGUUUUUAUUUUAAAUAUUCGUUUUAUUUAACGCUCAAAAUACAGACAAUAUCAUGACCUGAACCCUAUAUGCUUCGAUACAACAUUACAGGGCUGUAUCAACAGAAGCUAACAUUUUGAAAGGGCAACCUCUCAGUUUGGAGGGACAACAUUGAGCUGAAGAGAGACUGUCAUUAAAGCUCUGUGUCUACUUCAAUGAGGACAGCAACAUAAUGGUCAAGGAAUACUUGUGAAGAAGCCAAGAGGGUGAUUGCACAGACCACCAUGGGGAUUCCUGUAAUUCGCCCAGAAGGUGCUGAAGAAGAGGACGAGUCAGAGGAUGUUGGAGUGUUCAUUGAGGAAGUGGAACUGCUUAGCAACCUGAAGAGCAUCUCCCUUGGGUAAUCCAUACUUUUUGGCCUGACUUACACACUCAACCUGAGUUAUCCCCAAGAACUCAAAUAUCCCCAAGAACUCAAAUAUACAUUUGAGUUCUUCCAAAAAAGUCCUGAUGUCCCUGGAUGGCAACAAACUCUCUCCAAAGGUCCGAACACUCAAGAUUAAGAUGCUCCAGUAAGGACUCACAAGGACAAGGAAGUGGAACUGCUUAGCAACCUGAAGAGCAUCUCCCUUGGGUAUGCCAUACUUUUUGGCCUGAUUUACACACUCAAAGUCAAAAGUUAGGUUUCUUAUUGUUGCUUUUCCCUAUUACUACAUUACUGUCAGUUUGGAAAUGUUUUUAUUAUAAAAUAGCUGAAUGAUUUUGUUACAUUUAGGUGUAAUCAGGUGAAUGGUGUAUGUCAUUCUGUCAUCUUUAAAUGCUACCAAGUGCUGGCUCAAGUUUCUUAACUACGGUCAUUUUGGAAACUGAAGGAUGUUUACAAAUGUAAUGUUCUUAAAAGUUUUAAGGUGUUUAAUUUUAUUAUUUUUUUCUACAUUUGACUUUUUGAAUUGUUUUGUUUGGGCAGAGUUGAAAAAUCUCCCAGUCAAACAAAAAAUUAUAAAUACUUCUCUGCAGAUGGGAUAUAGGCUUCAACACAUUAUCUCAGGACAGCAAGUUAUUCAGAAAUUAUAGCCUAAAUUCUUCAUCUUAUUUACACAUGUGACUAGGCCUAAUUUAUGGUUAUUGGUACUUGAUUACAUUUCAUUGCAUUCAUUCAGUACUACAGCACAGAUUUUUUUUGUACCUCUGGCUGAAGUUGCUGUUACACUGAAUGGUUGUUCAGUCUUGCUGAGAGCUAUAAUAUUUUUGGCAUGAGUCUUUUAGCAUCAUUGUCUUCAGAAAUGUCAGUGUGCAUGCAUAGUUGUUCCCAUUCCCUAUCAGUUUGACAAUUGGUGUCUGAAUUGUUAAUAUAAUAUCAAACAGGUGGCAGUUUUAGGAUGAACUCCUCUGUCAUGUCCUAUGUGCAGACACGUGAGAGGUACAGAUGCACACCAGUAGCCUCUUGCUUAAUUGUACUAUUUUGUUUUUACAUAUUUACACAUAUUGCCCAUCAAUGUUACAAAUAAAUGAAUGCCAGUCAUAUUCAAGCCAUUGACAAAUGAGGUGACUCAAUC